This 440-nucleotide ribosomal RNA is filed under the name uncultured bacterium. Its description in RNAcentral is "bacterial SSU rRNA". It matches the Rfam family "Bacterial small subunit ribosomal RNA", at positions 338 to 795 of the family's 1533-position model. The record is from RNAcentral.
CCUACGGGCCGCACCAGUGGGGAAUAUUGGACAAUGGGCGAAAGCCUGAUCCAGCAAUGCCGCGUGUGUGAAGAAGGUCUUCGGAUUGUAAAGCACUUUCGACGGGGACUAUGAUGACGGUACCCGUAGAAGAAGCCCCGGCUAACUUCGUGCCAGCAGCCGCGGUAGUACGAAGGGGGCUAGCGUUGCUCGGAAUGACUGGGCGUAAAGGGCGCGUAGGCGGUUUAUGCAGUCAGAUGUGAAAUCCCCGGGCUUAACCUGGGAACUGCAUCUGAGACGCAUAGACUAGAGGUCGAGAGAGGGUUGUGGAAUUCCCAGUGUAGAGGUGAAAUUCGUAGAUAUUGGGAAGAACACCGGUGGCGAAGGCGGCACCCUGGCUCGAUACUGACGCUGAGGCGCGAAAGCGUGGGGAGCAAACAGGAUUAGAUACCCCUGUAGUC